This 1936-nucleotide long non-coding RNA is filed under the name Nicotiana tabacum (common tobacco). Its description in RNAcentral is "long non-coding RNA (NTAB_LNC018074)". Lineage: Eukaryota; Viridiplantae; Streptophyta; Magnoliopsida; Solanales; Solanaceae. The record is from RNAcentral.
UCUUUCAUGUUUAGAAAUAUCAAAAGAAAUAUGUGAAAUAAGUAUGAAAAUACAUCAACACAGCCCGAAUCUGGUGUCACUAGUCAUGAGCCACUAAGUACACUCAACACUGUCUGCUUAAUACAAAAUAAUUCUGAAAUACAAAGUACUAGAAUAGGAAGGAGAAAGGCAGGACUGCGAACGCCGUGUAGCUAUCUUGCAAUCUUCGAAUAAAACUCUAAAGGUGCUAAAAGCUCUCACUCUGAUGCUCGGGCACCUGGAUCUGCACACAAGGUGCAGGAAGUAACGUGAGUACACCAACUCAUUAAGUAAAUAAAGUAUGAGUGUAGUGACGAGCAUUAAAAAUCAUAUGCAUACUUUAUUAAGAAUCUCAACAGAAAUAUCAAAGUCAAAAUCUGCAGUUAAAUAACCAAAUACCGCGUAAAAACUCAAGUUUCAAUGAAAAUCCUUUAAAACAUUUAUCAACAUUUUCAAUAGAGGACCAGUAUAAAAGAAGAGUGAAAACAGGAAAUUUCACAAACAAGACCCUCGGGCAAAGUAUCACUUAUAAGUAUAGCCUCUCGGGCAAUCCUCUCAGUCACUCGUGACUCAACUCUCGUCAAUCAAUACUCACAUUCAUCGCUCCAGCUAAAUAGAUAUCUCAUAAUGAUAACCGAUGCGGCGUGCAACCCGAUCCAUAAUAUAUAGUCGACUACGCUCACUAGGGGUGUACAGACUCUGGAGGUGCUCCUACAACCCAAGUGCUAUAUCGUUGCGGUGCGCAACCUAAUCCAAUAUAUCGCUGCGGCGUGCAACUCGAUCCAUAUAUAAUAAUAUCGCUGCAGAGUGUAGCCUGAUAUAUAUAUAUAUAUAGCCUCGACCUCUCUUUGUCAUUAACCCCACAGCCACUCGGGCAUUCCAGUGAAAAUCAGGGAAGUUCAGCCCAAACUGUUUUCAUAUAUUUGAAAAUAGAGUAAUGAAACUGAAUCAACAGUAAACAGGUAAUAUCAUGAUUGAGGAUAUGCUUUCAAAUCAAAUAGUGUGAGGAAAAUAGUAAAAUACCCCUAAGGGUCUAAAUAGUUCGGCACAAAGGCCCCAAACAUGACAUUCAGCCCAAGUUAACAGAUUCAUUUCUUAAACACAUGGAUAUCAUAUGCAGUAUACCAAAAUAUGCAACUAUAUAAUCACCACGGGACGGACCAAGUCACAAUCCCUACGGGUGCACGCCCACACGCCCAUCACCUAGCAUGUGUGUCACCUCAUUUAUCAAAACAGUACGAAAUUCUGGGGUUUCAUACCCUCAAGUCUAAAUUUACAAUCGUUACUUACCUCAAACCGGAUGAAAUCCUACUCCGUGAUGCCCUUGCCUCUCGACUCGGCCUCAACUCGCGUCGAAUCUAUCCAAUCAGAAUCAUAACAUCAAUAUAUACCAAGGGAAUGAAGCCCAUGCGAAAAUAAUCAAAUUACAUCUAGAAUCCCGAAAUUGGUCAAACCCGACUCCCGAGCCCAUGUCUCGAAAUCCGAUAAUAAUCAUAUCAAUAGAAUCAUCAUUCACCCACGAGUCUAUUCAUACCAAAAGCAUCAAAAUCGGACCCAAAUGGCCCCUCUAAUCCCCACUCAAAGCUCUCCAAUUUCAAGCCCUAAUCCCCAAUUUCUUCCUUAAUUUCCACUAAUACCAUGAUUAAACAAUGAAAAAAUGAUCUUAAACACAAGUAAUGAAGCUUAAGUGGCUUACCGAAUUGAUAACCUUCAAUUUCCCUUUAAACAUCAUUGCCCUAGCUCACUUCCCGUCAUAAAAAAUGGAGAACCAUAGCAAAAUUUGCGAAGAGGACAUUUUUAUACCUUCUGCCCAACGAUCUCGCACCUGCGGUCCAUUUCCUGCAUCUGCAACAAAAUAGGCGCACAUGCGAUUUUUCACUUAGGGGCCAAACAUCCGCACCUGUGCCCCAGGUUUCGC